RNAcentral lists this transfer RNA (76 nucleotides) under Clostridiales bacterium. Its description in RNAcentral is "tRNA-Lys". It matches the Rfam family "tRNA". From Rfam's summary of the family: Transfer RNA (tRNA) molecules are approximately 80 nucleotides in length. The record is from RNAcentral. Lineage: Bacteria; Bacillati; Bacillota; Clostridia; Eubacteriales. RNAcentral also lists the same sequence under 2 other names.
GACCCAUUAGCUCAGUCGGUAGAGCAUCUGACUUUUAAUCAGAGGGUCCCGCGUUCGAGUCGCGGAUGGGUCACCA